Molecule: ribosomal RNA, 253 nt
Filed under: uncultured prokaryote
Description: partial 16S ribosomal RNA
Rfam family: Bacterial small subunit ribosomal RNA
Source: RNAcentral
ACGUAGGGUGCAAGCGUUAAUCGGAAUUACUGGGCGUAAAGCGUGCGCAGGCGGUUUUGUAAGUUUGUCGUGAAAGCCCCGGGCUCAACCUGGGAAUUGCGAUGAAGACUGCAAGGCUUGAAUCUGGCAGAGGGGGGUAGAAUUCCACGUGUAGCAGUGAAAUGCGUAGAGAUGUGGAGGAACACCGAUGGCGAAGGCAGCCCCUUGGGUCAAGAUUGACGCUCAUGCACGAAAGCGUGGGGAGCAAACAGGA